This 395-nucleotide unclassified non-coding RNA is filed under the name soil metagenome. RNAcentral's name for it is "partial contains 5.8S ribosomal RNA, internal transcribed spacer 2, and large subunit ribosomal RNA". The stretch from base 1 to 122 matches the Rfam family "5.8S ribosomal RNA", at positions 35 to 154 of the family's 154-position model. The record is from RNAcentral.
GAUGAAGAACGCAGCGAAAUGCGAUACUUGGUGUGAAUUGCAGAAUCCCGUGAACCAUCGAGUCUUUGAACGCAAGUUGCGCCCGAAGCCAUCAGGUUGAGGGCACGUCUGCCUGGGCGUCACAUAUCGUUGCCCAAUGCCUAUUGCAGUGCAAUAGGAAUUUCUAGGGCGAAUGAUGGCUUCCCGUGAGCGUUGUUGCCUCGCGGUUGGUUGAAAAUCGAGUCCUUGGUAGGGUGUGCCAUGGUAGAUGGUGGUCGAGUUAGAACGAUACCGAUCAUGUGCAUGCUCCCCAAAAUAUGGCCUCUCUGACCCACACGCGUCUUUUGACGCUCAUGACGAGACCUCAGGUCAGGCGGGGCUACCCGCUGAAUUUAAGCAUAUCAAUAAGCGGAGGA